UCUCAGGACCUAGAAAGGCACCCGCCCCACCCAAGCCCCAUGGACAGAUGCCCCAGGCUGCACAUUCUGUCAGUGCUGUUCUCCAAGAGGCCCAGACACGUGCUGAAACAUGAAAGAACUCACAUAUGUAUCUCAUUUGAUCUCAUCACAACCUGGGACACAGGUUAUAAAUAGAGGCCACAGAGCUCAUUUUAUACCCGGUGAACGAGCCAACUUCCAUGCAGUUGAGAAAAGGUGGGAACUAUGUUUCAGAUGGUGGAGGUAGCUUGAAGUCCAACAUUACCCUGUCUCAAAAAAAAAAAAAAAACAAAAAUAAAACAAAAAACAAUUAUAUGAGAAAUCUGAAACCCAAAGGGAAAAAGACAACAUAACUAACCUUGGUCAAGUAUUUCUCCGUGCUAUUAUUUGAAGUCCGUGGAUUUGAGAUAACAACUCCUGUUGAAGAACUUGAUUCUUUGUAUCCAGAUGCAGACAUUCUGAACCUGCAGUCUCCAGUUCUGCUGUAAGAUCAUCAAUCUGAAUGAAAACAAGAAUACAGUGUGAUAAUGAAGGAAGUAGCCUGA
Non-coding RNA from Callithrix jacchus (white-tufted-ear marmoset), 563 nucleotides. The record is from RefSeq and is a predicted model, not a curated record. Lineage: Eukaryota; Metazoa; Chordata; Mammalia; Primates; Cebidae.